AGUCAUUACCCCUAGAAUCUUCUAAUAUUGGGUAGGAACUAUUCCAUGAAUGUGGAGACAUCUGGCUCAGAACCUAAAAAUCUAAACAGAAAGUUUCAUCUUCUUUCCUAGCCCAUUAAAUAUAUAUGCUUUAUGUCCAUUUUCAGUGUUGAUGGCUAGUUAGCUAGAUCACCUAAUACCCUCCAUUUGUGAGCCAGUGUACCCUUAAAGGAACUGUAUUGUUCUUUGUCCUCAGACAUACCCAUUAUAUAAGGUUUCAUCUUCAGCUGAGACCAGUUAGUUCCAUUGGGGAAAGUAUGGGACUGAAGAGGCCAAGGUCAUUCUUUUGAUCCUGAUUCAAGCCAGUUAAUUUUGCACAGAUAUAAAUUUCUCCAAGGCUACAUGUUGCACAUCUAAUGUUAGCUGGUCAUUUUAUAAGUAGUUGUUAUUGGUUUCAUUAGCAAAGUAUGAAUGGUUCUGCACCAUUCAUUUCUAGAAAGAUUACUCAAACUACCAUUGUUCUGUUUAGUCUUAUUCAUUCAGCAAUUAUAUGAACCUGUUACCAUUUUUCUCCCAUUUCUCCCUUGCAUUUACUUGUUUUUCAGGUAUUUACUAAAUACUAAUUGUUUUGCAUAUAUUAUCUCAUUUAAGCCUUACAAUGACACUGAGAGCCAAGUACUAUUAUUUUCCCCACUAUAUGGUGAUGAAGUGACUGAGGAAUAAAGAUGAAACCUGAAUAUAGGCCAGGGCAGCCUGAUGUCAGAUUUCUGGACCACACUGACGG
This 763-nucleotide long non-coding RNA is filed under the name Marmota monax (woodchuck). The record is from RNAcentral. Lineage: Eukaryota; Metazoa; Chordata; Mammalia; Rodentia; Sciuridae.